Molecule: ribosomal RNA, 400 nt
Filed under: uncultured bacterium
Lineage: Bacteria
Description: bacterial SSU rRNA
Rfam family: Bacterial small subunit ribosomal RNA
Source: RNAcentral
GGGGAAUAUUGGACAAUGGGCGCAAGCCUGAUCCAGCCAUGCCGCGUGAGUGAUGAAGGCCCUAGGGUUGUAAAGCUCUUUCACCGGUGAAGAUAAUGACGGUAACCGGAGAAGAAGCCCCGGCUAACUUCGUGCCAGCAGCCGCGGUAAUACGAAGGGGGCUAGCGUUGUUCGGAAUUACUGGGCGUAAAGCGCACGUAGGCGGACAUUUAAGUCAGGGGUGAAAUCCCGGGGCUCAACCCCGGAACUGCCUUUGAUACUGGAUGUCUGGAGUAUGGAAGAGGUGAGUGGAAUUCCGAGUGUAGAGGUGAAAUUCGUAGAUAUUCGGAGGAACACCAGUGGCGAAGGCGGCUCACUGGUCCAUGACUGACGCUGAGGUGCGAAAGCGUGGGGAGCAAAC